RNAcentral lists this ribosomal RNA (436 nucleotides) under uncultured bacterium. Its description in RNAcentral is "bacterial LSU rRNA". It matches the Rfam family "Bacterial large subunit ribosomal RNA", at positions 456 to 896 of the family's 2925-position model. The record is from RNAcentral.
UCCUCCAAGGCUAAAUACUCGUGAUCGACCGAUAGUGAACCAGUACCGUGAGGGAAAGGCGAAAAAGAACCCCGGGAGGGGAGUGAAAUAGAUCCUGAAAACCGCAUGCAUACAAACAGUGGGAGCCUCGCAAGGGGUGACUGCGUACCUUUUGUAUAAUGGGUCAGCGACUUACGUUCAGUUGCGAGCUUAACCGAAUAGGGGAGGCGUAGCGAAAGCGAGUCUGAACAGGGCGUUCAGUAGCUGGGCGUAGACCCGAAACCGGAUGAUCUAUCCAUGGCCAGGUUGAAGGUGCGGUAACACGCACUGGAGGACCGAACCCACUAGUGUUGCAAAACUAGGGGAUGAGCUGUGGAUAGGGGUGAAAGGCUAAACAAAUCCGGAGAUAGCUGGUUCUCCUCGAAAACUAUUAGGUAGUGCCUCGUGUAUCACUCUC